AAAAUAGAGGAACUGGUGUAUGCCCCACAACUACCAAAGACUGCAGGCCCAGCUCGCCCUCCUCCUCCUGUGAGAGCUCUUCGACCGCUGCCACAACGCCAGGGCCCAAACCCUCCUCCAUCGGCUUCCUUCGCUGAUUCAGGAACCACCCACUCCCGCCCGGAACCCAAUCAAAUCGUUUAGCCGCUCAUCAUUAUCCGCGCCCGAUGAUUCUCCAGUUCAACUCGUGCGACGCCGUGCAUCGUCGAAGCUGUCAAUCAUCACAACACAAAAAAUGUCCAGAGGCUCUUUAGAAGCAGCACAUCUUCUUGGAGAUGUGUUUCUUGAUCAUAUGCUGAAAGAGGAAAAUAAUCAAGCCAAAAGGUCUAAGCCACAUCCCACGACCGUGAAGUGGAGGUGAAGGGACACAAAUGGGAAUGUGGUAAGGCCACUUCGAAGAAAAACUGCAAAAACAUCAAAACUGAAAAGAGCAGCCCCUAAACAUGGUGAGACAGCUGAGAAUUUACAGUUAUCAUUUAAAUAUAUUGUUAUUUUCAGUUGUGAUUUGUCUUUUCUCCCUAUUUGAUAAAUGUUUAGCUAUGUGCAGUCUGUUUUAAUCUUCAAGUGCAUUUAUUUAUUUACAGAACUAGAUAUAAAGAACCUCAAAUCGUUAUGUAUUCACAUUUUAUUUUGUUUAAAGCUCCUUCCAGUGUACCCAUCCAAGAGGGAUUUGUUUAUCGAGCAGAAACUGCCUCACUCAUUGAAGAAUUGGAGCAUAUCCUUAAUGAUGAAUGUUUUCAGCCUGAAGAGGUGUCUUUGGCCACAGCCUGGCAGAAGCGGCAAUCCCUUAGCCAUGAAAAAUGACACAUUGCAAGGGAGUCCUUCAUUAUGAAUCUUUUGGAGGCUGAAUAUGUUCAGGAAUGCAUCUGCCAACACUGUCUAACUGCUGAGGCCAUUGUACGGUGCAGGGACUGUCUACCUAGGCAGUAUCUAUGCACCCUGUGUGAUGGAGAUGUCCAUCAGCACCUACCUCUUCAUAACAGGGAGUCUAUGGUCCAUGGGUUCUUUAAGCCAUUGUGUCCAACCACUGCAGUGAAGAGACAUUCUGAAACAUUUGAGUUCUCUGAACAGGGACUGUACAAUCUCACUCUUCCAUCUCUGGAGUGCUCAUGCUGUGGGAAAACAUGGACAGUGGAACUCAGUAAUCUCCUCAUGUCUGGGUACUGGCCAGCCUCUAUACAUUUUGAUACUGUAUAUGAGGCUGAACUUUUUAGGUCUUUUCUGGACUUAAAACUAUUCACUCCAGGUCUAUUCACAACAGAGUACAAUGGCAGGAAUGGUAAAAUAUGUGGAGACACAUUCCAUAAAGCCUUCUUGGAAUGGACCUUUGCCCAGCAUGAGGUUGAGAGGCUUUGUGGUGCCCAACCAUUUAAAUGUCCCGCUUGCAGUCCAUCCAUGCAUGCAGUCUCAGUGGAUGGUAACAGGAAGCUAUACAGGUUCCAUAAUGCACACGGGACAGAGAAGGGCUACUUCGAUGGCACAUUUAUAAUGAAAGAUGAUGAUGUUUCAUCCUUUGUGGAAUAUGUUCAUGAAAAGACCAAGCAUUCCACAGGUAAAGGGGUUUGUGGCUCCUCUCAAUGGACAGCAGCAAAGGAGUCAGCGAAAAAGUCAGCCUCAAAGAUUGAUGAGGAAGGCCUUGAGGUUGCUGUUUGCCGACAUGGAGGACUUUUAAAAGCCCUAAAUAUGUUUAGAGGGGAAAUAUUUGCUUAUCCCCUGUUCCUUCAAAACACCCUCUCGAAGGAAAAUGUGGCAUUUUUCUGUUCCGAUGUUGCCUGCAAGUACUGGCCAUACUUAAAGAGAGCGGUGGGACACUGUCCGGAGCUAAGCCCUUUAUUAAAUAUGCGCCCACUAUUAUCAGUUAUGCAUGCCAAAGCACAUGAGUGGAGUUAUGAGAUAAAAUGGUCCGGAAGAAAUCAAAAGGGAGCUGGUCUUACAAUCGGAGAAGAGGUGGAGCAGGUCAACUCCUUCUUGUCGAGAGCAGCAGUCUGCACUAAAUAUAUGUCCAAAGCUGCAUGUUCAGACAUGCUCACAGUUCUUGCUUCUGCAUGGAACAAACGGAAAUCUGAAAAUCUGGCUAAAAGUUUGUCGCAAAGAUACGUUAAGACAACCGAAAGGCUGAAAGUAGAAAGAGAGAGCUUUGCAAGUCUGCAGGCUGAGCUUAAUGUCAGCGACGAUAACAUUCAGCAGUGGGUCAGUGAUGUCCAGCAGUGGGCUGCAGUAUCAAGAGCGAAGGACGACGCUGGACUUGAGGGCAAAAUUCGAGGCCUUUGUCAGCAUAAAGCUGAGAAAAAGCAAUCUGUACCAUCAGACAGAUAAAAGCAACCUAUCAACUAAGAAGAUGGUCUUUGACCGGUUCAUGUUGCUUUCCCGACUGAAGGAAGAGGAGCAGAUCAUCGUGAUAGAGGUCAAGCAACACUGGCAAUCACUGAAGGAAGCUGAAUGUUCCCUGAGGGAUCUCUCUGUUGAAAUACAAAAUAACAACAGUGACUUCGAGUUAUCAGAGGGGAGCUCCAAUGGACUACUGUGCCUUCUCAAGAGAAAAUUGGAAGACCUUCAGUUUCAGUUGUUUUGCAGUGUGUGCCUACAUCUUACAUGGACGGGAAAGUGUAUAAGGAUAUGUUUACAUAUACUGUAGAUAAAGUGUUUACAUAAUACAUGUAUUUCCCCACUGUAAGCAAAAUAUUGAUCUACAAAAACAGUCUUGUAUUUUUAUCUCCUUGAUUUAAUCUCUGUUCAGGCAGAUUUUGUAUGAUAAUUCUCUGCAGAUAAUUCUGCAAUAUAUUAUAAGAAAAUAUAUGCUAUUCUUUGUUAACAUUAAGUGCAUUAAAUGUUACAUUAUGUCAGGGUUUCCCAGAUGGUGUUGAAAAGCUAUAAAGUAAUUAAAUUAAAUCAAAAUUAAAUAAUUUAAAAUA
RNA transcript from Onychostoma macrolepis, 2951 nucleotides. RefSeq lists it as uncharacterized. NCBI's taxonomy places the organism in Eukaryota, Metazoa, Chordata, Actinopteri, Cypriniformes, Cyprinidae. The transcript is spliced from 15 exons. The record is from RefSeq and is a predicted model, not a curated record.